GGAAUAUUGGACAAUGGGCGAAAGCCUGAUCCAGCCAUGCCGCGUGUGUGAAGAAGGCUUUCGGGUUGUAAAGCACUUUCAGUGAGGAAGAAAGCCUUGGGGCUAAUACCCCCGAGGAAGGACAUCACUCACAGAAGAAGCCCCGGCUAACUCCGUGCCAGCCGCCGCGGUAAUACGGAGGGUGCAAGCGUUAAUCGGAAUUACCGGGUGGAAAGCGCGCGUAGGUGGUUUUGUAAGUCGGAUGUGAAAGCCCUGGGCUCAACCUGGGAAUUGCAUUCGAUACUGCUUAACUAGAGUAUGGUAGAGGGAAGUGGAAUUUCCGGUGUAGCGGUGAAAUGCGUAGAUAUCGGAAGGAACACCAGUGGCGAAGGCGACUUCCUGGGCCAAUACUGACACUGAGGUGCGAAAGCGUGGGUAGCA
This 420-nucleotide ribosomal RNA is filed under the name uncultured bacterium. RNAcentral describes it as "bacterial SSU rRNA". It matches the Rfam family "Bacterial small subunit ribosomal RNA", at positions 358 to 770 of the family's 1533-position model. The record is from RNAcentral.